RNAcentral lists this ribosomal RNA (309 nucleotides) under Triticum aestivum (bread wheat). RNAcentral describes it as "partial small subunit ribosomal RNA". The record is from RNAcentral. Lineage: Eukaryota; Viridiplantae; Streptophyta; Magnoliopsida; Poales; Poaceae.
AUGUGGUUGCGGGUGAUGUCGCUGAGCUUGGUGCACCCGCCGAGCGCCAUGGUGAGCUCGAACUCCUCCCGCAUCAUGCGCAGCACGUUCCGCACUCCGGCCUCGCCCUCCGCCGCCAGCGCGAACACCACCGGCCGCCCGAUCUGCAAACAGGUCGAUCGGUGGCUUACGAAGACGCCGGAGGCGCCGAGAGCGAGCGCCUUGAAGACGUCGGUGCCGCGGCGGACGCCUCCGUCGAGGUACACCGGGAUGCGCCCCUGGGCGGCCGUGACGACCUCCUCGAGGGCGCUGAUGGUGGCCGGCACGUAG